CCUACGGGGGGCAGCAGUGAGGAAUAUUGGUCAAUGGCCGUAAGGCUGAACCAGCCAAGUAGCGUGAAGGAUGACUGCCCUACGGGUUGUAAACUUCUUUUAUAAAGGAAUAAAGUGAGGCACGUGUGCCUUUUUGUAUGUACUUUAUGAAUAAGGAUCGGCUAACUCCGUGCCAGCAGCCGCGGUAAUACGGAGGAUCCGAGCGUUAUCCGGAUUUAUUGGGUUUAAAGGGAGCGUAGAUGGGUUGUUAAGUCAGUUGUGAAAGUUUGCGGCUCAACCGUAAAAUUGCAAUGGUUACUGGCAGUCUUGAGUACAGUGGAGGUAGGCGGAAUUCGUGGGGUAGCGGUGAAAUGCUUAGAUAUCACGAAGAACCCCGAUUGCGAAGGCAGCUUACUAAACUGUGACUGACAUUGAUGCUCGAAAGUGUGGGUAUCAAACAGGAUUAGAUACCCGUGUAGUC
RNAcentral lists this ribosomal RNA (460 nucleotides) under uncultured bacterium. Its description in RNAcentral is "partial 16S ribosomal RNA". It matches the Rfam family "Bacterial small subunit ribosomal RNA", at positions 338 to 795 of the family's 1533-position model. The record is from RNAcentral.